This 285-nucleotide small nuclear RNA is filed under the name Salvator merianae (Argentine black and white tegu). RNAcentral describes it as "7SK RNA (ENSSMRG00000018699.1)". It matches the Rfam family "7SK RNA". Rfam says of the family: 7SK was discovered as an abundant small nuclear RNA in the mid-70s but a possible function has only recently been suggested. Two independent studies have found that 7SK RNA binds the CDK9/cyclin T complex (known as elongation factor P-TEFb). The record is from RNAcentral. Lineage: Eukaryota; Metazoa; Chordata; Lepidosauria; Squamata; Teiidae.
GUGGAUGAGGGCCAGUGAACCAAGGCUGUUACNUCUUGUCACCAAAUUGAUCACCAGAGUUGAUUCAGUUGAUCUGACUAAUGUCCCCUUCUUCCCUCACUGCUGCAUGUGCAUCCCUUCGGAACCUACACAUUCAGUGGAAGAAAACAUCCAUCCUCAACUGAGGGCCAGUACUGUUCUUCAGUCAAGGGAACGUCAAGAAAAUGGAAGCCCUCUGUCUGAGAAACAGAGGUUUUCCAGUUCAUGAUGGGAUGGUGCUCUUUCCAAGGGAGCAGGCUGUCACUG